Molecule: ribosomal RNA, 497 nt
Filed under: uncultured bacterium
Lineage: Bacteria
Description: partial 16S ribosomal RNA
Rfam family: Bacterial small subunit ribosomal RNA
Source: RNAcentral
GAUGAACACUGGCGGCGUGCCUAAUACAUGCAAGUCGAGCGAACGGACGAGAAGCUUGCUUUUCUGAUGUUAGCGGCGGACGGGUGAGUAACACGUGGAUAACCUACCUAUAAGACUGGGAUAACUUCGGGAAACCGGAGCUAAUACCGGAUAAUAUUUUGAACCGCAUGGUUCAAAAGUGAAAGACGGUCUUGCUGUCACUUAUAGAUGGAUCCGCGCUGCAUUAGCUAGUUGGUAAGGUAACGGCUUACCACGGCAACGAUGCAUAGCCGACCUGAGAGGGUGAUCGGCCACACUGGAACUGAGACACGGUCCAGACUCCUACGGGAGGCAGCAGUAGGGAAUCUUCCGCAAUGGGCGAAAGCCUGACGGAGCAACGCCGCGUGAGUGAUGAAGGUCUUCGGAUCGUAAAACUCUGUUAUUAGGGAAGAACAUAUGUGUAAGUAACUGUGCACAUCUUGACGGUACCUAAUCAGAAAGCCACGGCUAACUACGUG